CCUACGGGUGGCAGCAGUGAGGAAUAUUGGUCAAUGGCCGAGAGGCUGAACCAGCCAAGUCGCGUGGGGGAAGACGGCCCUAUGGGUUGUAAACCUCUUUUGUCGGGGAGCAAAGCGAACCACGUGUGGUUCAUUGCGUGUACCCGAUGAAAAAGCAUCGGCUAACUCCGUGCCAGCAGCCGCGGUAAUACGGAGGAUGCGAGCGUUAUCCGGAUUUAUUGGGUUUAAAGGGUGCGCAGGCGGGGGUGCAAGUCAGCGGUCAAAUGUGGGGGCUCAACCCCGUACUGCCGUUGAAACUGCAGCCCUUGAGUGCGCGAGAAGUAGGCGGAAUGCGUGGUGUAGCGGUGAAAGGCAUAGAUAUCACGCAGAACUCCGAUUGCGAAGGCAGCAUGCCGGAGCGCAACUGACGCUCAUGCACGAAAGCGUGGGUAUCGAACAGGAUUAGAUACCCUAGUAGUC
RNAcentral lists this ribosomal RNA (459 nucleotides) under uncultured bacterium. RNAcentral describes it as "partial 16S ribosomal RNA". It matches the Rfam family "Bacterial small subunit ribosomal RNA", at positions 338 to 795 of the family's 1533-position model. The record is from RNAcentral.